RNAcentral lists this ribosomal RNA (301 nucleotides) under uncultured bacterium. Its description in RNAcentral is "partial 16S ribosomal RNA". It matches the Rfam family "Bacterial small subunit ribosomal RNA", at positions 509 to 807 of the family's 1533-position model. The record is from RNAcentral.
CAGUCGCCGCGGUAAUACAGAGGGUGCGAGCGUUAAUCGGAUUUACUGGGCGUAAAGCGUGCGUAGGCGGCUAAUUGAGUCGGAUGUGAAAUCCCUGAGCUUAACUUAGGAAUUGCAUUCGAUACUGGGAAGCUAGAGUAUGGGAGAGGAUGGUAGAAUUCCAGGUGUAGCGGUGAAAUGCGUAGAGAUCUGGAGGAAUACCGAUGGCGAAGGCAGCCAUCUGGCCUAAUACUGACGCUGAGGUACGAAAGCAUGGGGAGCAAACAGGAUUAGAUACCCCUGUAGUCCCUGUCUCUUAUAC